RNAcentral lists this ribosomal RNA (497 nucleotides) under uncultured bacterium. Its description in RNAcentral is "partial 16S ribosomal RNA". It matches the Rfam family "Bacterial small subunit ribosomal RNA", at positions 28 to 507 of the family's 1533-position model. The record is from RNAcentral.
GAUGAACGCUGGCGGCGUGCCUAAUACAUGCAAGUCGAGCGAACAGACGAUGAGCUUGCUCCUCUGACGUUAGCGGCGGACGGGUGAGUAACACGUGGAUAACCUACCUAUAUGACUGGGAUAACUUCGGGAAACCGGAGCUAAUACCGGAUAAUAUAUUGAACCGCAUGGUUCAAUAGUGAAAGACGGCUUUGCUGUCACUUAUAGAUGGAUCCCCGCCGCAUUAGCUAGUUGGUAAGGUAACGGCUUACCAAGGCAACUAUGCGUAGCCGACCUGAGAGAGUGAUCGGCCACACGAGAACUGGGACACGGACCAGACUCCUACGGGAGGCAGCAGUAGGGAAUCUUCCGCAGUGGGCGAAAGCCUGACGGAGCAACGCCGCGUGAGUGAUGGAGGUCUUCGGAUCGUAAAACUCUGUUAUUAGGGAAGAACAAAUGUGUAAGUAACUAUGCACGUCUUGACGGUACCUAAUCAGAAAGCCACGGCUAACUACGUG